GACGUGGGGUGCGAGCGUUGUCCGGAUUUAUUGGGCGUAAAGAGCUCGUAGGCGGCUCGUCGCGUCGACCGUGAAAACCCGCAGCUUAACUGCGGGCUUGCGGUUGAUACGGGCGGGCUAGAGUUCGGUAGGGGAGACUGGAAUUCCUGGUGUAGCGGUGAAAUGCGCAGAUAUCAGGAGGAACACCGGUGGCGAAGGCGGGUCUCUGGGCCGAUACUGACGCUGAGGAGCGAAAGCGUGGGGAGCGAACAGG
RNAcentral lists this ribosomal RNA (253 nucleotides) under uncultured bacterium. RNAcentral describes it as "partial 16S ribosomal RNA". It matches the Rfam family "Bacterial small subunit ribosomal RNA", at positions 524 to 776 of the family's 1533-position model. The record is from RNAcentral.